Pistacia vera is the source of this 518-nucleotide long non-coding RNA. RefSeq lists it as uncharacterized. The record is from RefSeq and is a predicted model, not a curated record. Lineage: Eukaryota; Viridiplantae; Streptophyta; Magnoliopsida; Sapindales; Anacardiaceae. The transcript is spliced from 3 exons.
AGCUACAUGAGCAGCCUCUUGUUGUGGAGCUUGAUCUUCGAGAUGACGGAGCUCAAAUUCAGUAUGUACUUCUAGAUCUGGUUGGUCGACGCACUGUUCCACAAGUAUUUGUGAAUGGCAAACACAUCUUAAAGCUGCUGUUGUGAGCGGUCAGUUGCAGAAACUACUUGGUACCAGUUAAUGAGAUAUUAGGAUGGUAUGAUGUGAAACAAAAACAUCUGAUCUGGAGGUACAUAUGAGGAUUAACAAAUCAUUCCUGGAGUCUGAGAUACAUAAAACAUAUGGUGAGGUUUUUUUAUAGCUUAGUGAUGUUAGCCAAAAGAGUUAAUGUAGCAGCCCUCAGCCAAUGAAAACUUGAUGUUUGGGGAAAAAAGGAUUUGUUAUAUGGUAAGUUUGGGGUGUGGAAAAUCAUUUGCUGUAUUGAUUAGAAAAUUUUGAUGCUUCUUAAAUAGCUCUAGUGUGUAUGUAGAGUGAAACUGAAUAGUGGGACUCUUGAAAAUUUCAUCAUUUCAUUUUAA